AGGGUUUGAUCAUGGCUCAGGACGAACGCUGGCGGCGUGCCUAAUACAUGCAAGUCGAGCGAAUUUUUGGGAGCUUGCUCCCAAAAGUUAGCGGCGGACGGGUGAGUAACACGUGGGCAACCUGCCUAUAAGACUGGGAUAACUUCGGGAAACCGGAGCUAAUACCGGAUAAUUCUUAUCUACUCAUGUAGAUAAGCUAAAAGACGGUUUCGGCUGUCACUUAUAGAUGGGCCCGCGGCGCAUUAGCUAGUUGGUGAGGUAACGGCUCACCAAGGCAACGAUGCGUAGCCGACCUGAGAGGGUGAUCGGCCACACUGGGACUGAGACACGGCCCAGACUCCUACGGGAGGCAGCAGUAGGGAAUCUUCCGCAAUGGACGAAAGUCUGACGGAGCAACGCCGCGUGAGUGAUGAAGGUUUUCGGAUCGUAAAACUCUGUUGUUUGGGAAGAACAAGUACGAGAGUAACUGCUCGUACCUUGACGGUACCUAACCAGAAAGCCACGGCUAACUACGUGCCAGCAGCCGCGGUAAUACGUAGGUGGCAAGCGUUGUCCGGAAUUAUUGGGCGUAAAGCGCGCGCA
Molecule: ribosomal RNA, 582 nt
Filed under: uncultured Bacillus sp.
Lineage: Bacteria; Bacillati; Bacillota; Bacilli; Caryophanales; Bacillaceae
Description: bacterial SSU rRNA
Rfam family: Bacterial small subunit ribosomal RNA
Source: RNAcentral